AACCACAAGCUGGCAGGAUUAAACAUGCAAGUCGAGGGGUAACAGGAGCGCUUGCACUUGCUGACGACCGGCGCACGGGUGCGUAACGCGUAUAGAACCUACCUUUUACUGAGGGAUAGCCUUUAGAAAUGAAGAUUAAUACCUCAUAGUAUUUAGAUUUGGCAUCAGAUUUAAAUUAAAGAUUUAUUGGUAAAAGAUGGCUAUGCGUCUUAUUAGUUAGAUGGUGAGGUAACGGCUUACCAUGGCAACGAUAAGUAGGGGCCCUGAGAGGGGGAUCCCCCACACUGGUACUGAGACACGGACCAGACUCCUACGGGAGGCAGCAGUGAGGAAUAUUGGGCAAUGGAGGCAACUCUGACCCAGCCAUGCCGCGUGCAGGAAGACUGCCCUAUGGGUUGUGAACUGCUUUUAUACAGGAAGAAACGCAUCUACGUGUAGGUGUUUGACGGUACUGUAAGAAUAAGCACCGGCUAACUCCGUGCCAGCAGCCGCGGUAAUACGGAGGGUGCAAGCGUUAUCCGGAAUCAUUGGGUUUAAAGGGUCCGCAGGCGGUCAAUUAAGUCAGAGGUGAAAUCCCACAGCUUAACUGUGGAACUGCCUUUGAUACUGGUUGACUUGAGUUAUACGGAAGUAGAUAGAAUGUGUAGUGUAGCGGUGAAAUGCAUAGAUAUUACACAGAAUACCGAUUGCGAAGGCAGUCUACUACGUGUAUACUGACGCUCAUGGACGAAAGCGUGGGGAGCGAACAGGAUUAGAUACCCUGGUAGUCCACGCCGUAAACGAUGGACACUAGUUGUUGGAAAUUAUUCAGUGACUAAGCGAAAGUGAUAAGUGUCCCACCUGGGGAGUACGAUCGCAAGAUUGAAACUCAAAUGAAUUGACGG
Molecule: ribosomal RNA, 884 nt
Filed under: uncultured bacterium
Lineage: Bacteria
Description: bacterial SSU rRNA
Rfam family: Bacterial small subunit ribosomal RNA
Source: RNAcentral